RNAcentral lists this ribosomal RNA (273 nucleotides) under uncultured bacterium. Its description in RNAcentral is "partial 16S ribosomal RNA". It matches the Rfam family "Bacterial small subunit ribosomal RNA", at positions 524 to 796 of the family's 1533-position model. The record is from RNAcentral.
UACGUAGGGUCCGAGCGUUGUCCGGAAUUAUUGGGCGUAAAGGGCUCGUAGGCGGUUAGUCGCGUCGGGAGUGAAAACUCAGGGCUCAACCCUGAGCGUGCUUCCGAUACGGGCUGACUAGAGGUAUGCAGGGGAGAACGGAAUUCCUGGUGUAGCGGUGGAAUGCGCAGAUAUCAGGAGGAACACCGGUGGCGAAGGCGGUUCUCUGGGCAUUACCUGACGCUGAGGAGCGAAAGCAUGGGGAGCGAACAGGAUUAGAAACCCCCGUAGUCC